This 484-nucleotide ribosomal RNA is filed under the name uncultured bacterium. Its description in RNAcentral is "partial 16S ribosomal RNA". It matches the Rfam family "Bacterial small subunit ribosomal RNA", at positions 30 to 507 of the family's 1533-position model. The record is from RNAcentral.
AUUGAACGCUGGCGGCAGGCCUAACACAUGCAAGUCGAGCGGAUGAAGGGAGCUUGCUCCUGGAUUCAGCGGCGGACGGGUGAGUAAUGCCUAGGAAUCUGCCUGGCAGUGGGGGCUAACGUCCGGAAACGGGCGCUAAUACCGCAUACGUCCUGAGGGAGAAAGUGGGGGAUCUUCGGACCUCCCGCUAUCAGAUGAGCCUAUGUCGGAUUAGCUAGUUGGUGGGGUAAAGGCCUACCAAGGCGACGAUCCGUAGCUGGUCUGAGAGGAUGAUCAGCCACACUGGAACUGAGACACGGUCCAGACUCCUACGGGAGGCAGCAGUGGGGAAUAUUGGACAAUGGGCGAAAGCCUGAUCCAGCCAUGCCGCGUGUGUGAAGAAGGUCUUCGGAUUGUAAAGCACUUUAAGUUGGGAGGAAAGGCAGUAAGUUAAUACCUUGCUGUUUUGACGUUACCAACAGAAUAAGCACCGGCUAACUUCGUG